CAAUAGCGUAUAUUAAAGUUGUUGCAGUUAGAACGCUCGUAGUCGGAUUUCGGGGCGUUCCGACCGGUCUGCCGAUGGGUAUGCACUGGCCGGAGUGUCCUUUUUGCCGGAGACCGUGCCUACUCUUAACUGAGCGGGGGCGGGAGACGGCACUUUUACUUUGAAAAAAUCAGAGUGUUUCAAGCAGGCAGCUCGCUCUUGCAUGGAUUAGCAUGGGAUAAUGAAAUAGGACUUUGGUGCUAUUUUGUUGGUUUCGAACACCGAAGUAAUGAUGAGAAGGGACAGUCAGGGGCACUCGUAUUCCGCAGAGAGAGGUGAAAUUCUCAGACCCGCGGAAGACGAACCACUGCGAAAGCAUUUGCCAGGGAUGUUUNCACUG
RNAcentral lists this ribosomal RNA (379 nucleotides) under uncultured eukaryote. RNAcentral describes it as "partial 18S ribosomal RNA". It matches the Rfam family "Eukaryotic small subunit ribosomal RNA", at positions 592 to 975 of the family's 1831-position model. The record is from RNAcentral.